UCGGACGUGGUGUAUAGCACACCGCCGGCUGCUAGUAUACCCCACCGAAGGGCUUCAAAAGUUGACUGGCAGUUCGGGGUUCGACUCCCCGCGUCCGAA
This is a non-coding RNA of Mycena galopus ATCC 62051, 99 nucleotides long. NCBI's taxonomy places the organism in Eukaryota, Fungi, Basidiomycota, Agaricomycetes, Agaricales, Mycenaceae. The record is from the annotation of a GenBank genome assembly.